RNAcentral lists this ribosomal RNA (253 nucleotides) under uncultured bacterium. RNAcentral's name for it is "partial 16S ribosomal RNA". It matches the Rfam family "Bacterial small subunit ribosomal RNA", at positions 524 to 776 of the family's 1533-position model. The record is from RNAcentral.
UACAGAGGGUGCGAGCGUUGUCCGGAAUCACUGGGCGUAAAGGGCGCGUAGGCGGCUUGGUAAGUAGGGGGUGAAAUCUUGCGGCUCAACUGCAAGGCUGCCUCCUAAACUGUCAGGCUUGAGCACAGUAGAGGCAGGUGGAAUUCCCGGUGUAGCGGUGGAAUGCGUAGAGAUCGGGAAGAACAUCGGUGGCGAAGGCGGCCUGCUGGGCCGUUGCUGACGCUGAGGCGCGACAGCGUGGGGAGCAAACAGG